Molecule: long non-coding RNA, 446 nt
Organism: Lineus longissimus
Lineage: Eukaryota; Metazoa; Nemertea; Pilidiophora; Heteronemertea; Lineidae
Exons: 4
Source: RefSeq, a predicted model, not a curated record
GAGUAUAAAACAAUAGCGGAUUUGGUCCAAAGUUGCAGUCUUCCAGACUCUCUGUUGUUUAACGAGCAAUUUCCGUAUUCAACGCCGCAUUCGCCUGCAACUCUAGUGAUGAUGCCUCGUUACAUGUUGGCAAUCCUCUUGAUCGGGGCAUUGGUGUCCGCGAUGGUCAUAGACAUGGUUGAGGCUAAAAAGCAGUGUGAGUGUGAUAUAUGUAAGGAAAAAGCGCCGCGUAACUGCAAAAGAUAUUGCGAGAGGAACUGCGAAGAGCAAGUUCAGGAGGCCAGAAAUAGUGGGCUUUGGCCUUUCUAGCACGGCUAAACGACUUUGGAUGACUUAGACACGGCACGAAACUACAGUAUAACACCGAUGAAGACGACAACGAAGAACUCUUUCCAAUCUACAUGUAGAUGAAUAAUAAGGCCAUUGAACAUGAUUAAUAAGCACCA